GUCGCGAAUCUUCCGCAAUGGGCGAAAGCCUGACGGAGCGACGCCGCGUGUGGGAUGAAGGCCUUCGGGUUGUAAACCACUGUCACGCGUUAUGAACACCGGGGAGACAACAUCAAGCCGGAUGACAAAGGCGCGAGAGGAAGCCACGGCUAACUCUGUGCCAGCAGCCGCGGUAAGACAGAGGUGGCAAGCGUUGCUCGGAGUUACUGGGCUUAAAGGGCGCGUAGGCGGUCGUGCACGUCGGGGGUGAAAUCCCCGGGCUCAACCCGGGAACUGCCUUCGAUACGGCGCGACUCGAGUGCGGGAGGGGAGAGUGGAACUCCUGGUGGAGCGGUGAAAUGCGUAGAUAUCAGGAGGAACGCCGGUGGCGAAAGCGACUCUCUGGACCGCAACUGACGCUGAGGCGCGAAAGCCAGGGGAGCAAACGGGAUUAGAAACCCCGGUAGUCC
Molecule: ribosomal RNA, 449 nt
Filed under: uncultured bacterium
Lineage: Bacteria
Description: bacterial SSU rRNA
Rfam family: Bacterial small subunit ribosomal RNA
Source: RNAcentral